AGGGGCAUAGUUCAAUUGGUAGAACAGCAGACUCCAAAUCUGCGUGUUGUGGGUUCAAGUCCUGUUGCCCCUGCCA
RNAcentral lists this transfer RNA (76 nucleotides) under Malacoplasma sp. RNAcentral's name for it is "tRNA-Trp". It matches the Rfam family "tRNA". From Rfam's summary of the family: Transfer RNA (tRNA) molecules are approximately 80 nucleotides in length. Lineage: Bacteria; Bacillati; Mycoplasmatota; Mycoplasmoidales; Mycoplasmoidaceae. The record is from RNAcentral.